CCUACGGGUGGCAGCAGUGAGGAAUAUUGGUCAAUGGGCGCAAGCCUGAACCAGCCAAGUCGCGUGAGGGAUGACUGCCCUGAGGGUUGUAGACUUCUUUUAUAGAGGAAUAAAGUGACGCACGUGUGCCGUUUUGUAUGUACUUUAUGAAUAAGGAUCGGCUAACUCCGUGCCAGCAGCCGCGGUAAUACGGAGGAUCCGAGCGUUAUCCGGAUUUAUUGGGUUUAAAGGGUGCGUAGGCGGGCCUUUAAGCCGGCGGUCAAAUGGCGGGGCUCAACCCCGGCCUGCCGUCGGAACUGGGGGCCGUGAGUGGGGCGGAGGCAUGCGGAAUGCGUGGUGUAGCGGUGAAAUGCAUAGAUAUCACGCAGAACCCCGAUUGCGAAGGCAGCAUACCGGCGCCCUACUGACGCUGAGGCACGAAAGUGCGGGGAUCGAACAGGAUUAGAUACCCGUGUAGUC
RNAcentral lists this ribosomal RNA (459 nucleotides) under uncultured bacterium. Its description in RNAcentral is "partial 16S ribosomal RNA". It matches the Rfam family "Bacterial small subunit ribosomal RNA", at positions 338 to 795 of the family's 1533-position model. The record is from RNAcentral.